CAACUUAUAUUCAGUUUCACUCUGCUGCACAAAGCUUACACAACCUGUAGAACUAAAUCUGAUAAAACAUGAAUAAAUACGUCUUGACAGAGAUCAUAUUCUGCUUCUUCCUCGUCCUCAUCGCUGUUUCAGCUGUGCCGUUGUUGGACUGGCAAGAGCGAUGUCUCCCAUCCAGUGCAACCUGCCGUACUUUCGCGGAUUGUUGCAGCAGGAAUUGUCUUUGGAAUCGGUGCAACUGAAAAUUGAGAAGAUGAUUUUGUAAUUAAUUACAGUCUCCUAGCAUACCUUUGCAAUUUUUUAACAGCUUAUACAUUGAUGGAGCUUUAAUAAUGACUUUAUCAUUGGACUAAAUAAAAUAAAAUUAGCGGCAUGAAUACAGAA
This is a long non-coding RNA of Folsomia candida, 381 nucleotides long. RefSeq lists it as uncharacterized. NCBI's taxonomy places the organism in Eukaryota, Metazoa, Arthropoda, Collembola, Entomobryomorpha, Isotomidae. The transcript has 2 exons. The record is from RefSeq and is a predicted model, not a curated record.